Molecule: ribosomal RNA, 514 nt
Filed under: Mediterraneibacter gnavus
Lineage: Bacteria; Bacillati; Bacillota; Clostridia; Lachnospirales; Lachnospiraceae
Description: bacterial SSU rRNA
Rfam family: Bacterial small subunit ribosomal RNA
Source: RNAcentral
UUUAACGAGAGUUUGAUCCUGGCUCAGGAUGAACGCUGGCGGCGUGCUUAACACAUGCAAGUCGAGCGAAGCACCUUGACGGAUUUCUUCGGAUUGAAGCCUUGGUGACUGAGCGGCGGACGGGUGAGUAACGCGUGGGUAACCUGCCUCAUACAGGGGGAUAACAGUUGGAAACGGCUGCUAAUACCGCAUAAGCGCACAGUACCGCAUGGUACGGUGUGAAAAACUCCGGUGGUAUGAGAUGGACCCGCGUCUGAUUAGGUAGUUGGUGGGGUAACGGCCUACCAAGCCGACGAUCAGUAGCCGACCUGAGAGGGUGACCGGCCACAUUGGGACUGAGACACGGCCCAAACUCCUACGGGAGGCAGCAGUGGGGAAUAUUGCACAAUGGGGGAAACCCUGAUGCAGCGACGCCGCGUGAGCGAUGAAGUAUUUCGGUAUGUAAAGCUCUAUCAGCAGGGAAGAAAAUGACGGUACCUGACUAAGAAGCCCCGGCUAACUACGUGCCAGCAGC